AACGAACGCUGGCGGCAUGCCUAACACAUGCAAGUCGAACGAGACCUUCGGGUGUUGGGGCUCACGGGUUCGUAACCGGAGGGAACAUGCCCGUAUGGUCGGAAUAACUCCUCGCAAGGGGUGCUAAUACGGGAUAAUAUCUUCGGACCAAAGAUUUAUCGGCUUUGGAGGGGCCUGCGUUGGAUUGGCUAGUUGGUAGGGUAAAAGACGACCAAGGCGAUGUUCCAUAGCUGGUCUGGGAGGAGGAUCCGUACCACUGGGAGUGUGACACGGCCCAGACUCCUACGGGAGGGAGCAGUCGGGAAUAUUGGACGCCGGGCGAGAGCCUGAGCCUGCCAUGCCGCGUGGGUGAUGAAGGAGUUAGGAUUGUAAAGCUCUUUUGACCGGGCUGAUAGUGACGGUACCGGGAGAAUAAGAGCCGGCUAACUACGUG
Molecule: ribosomal RNA, 433 nt
Filed under: uncultured bacterium
Lineage: Bacteria
Description: partial 16S ribosomal RNA
Rfam family: Bacterial small subunit ribosomal RNA
Source: RNAcentral